UUCGGCGUCACUGAGGCCCGCUAACAGGCCUUCAGUUAUGUUGGCGAUUUAAGUGAUUUAAUUCAAUGGUUAAAGUGUCGAAAAUCAAGUUUUCUUUUCGUCCACUGCUUCACUGUCGAGCGAACAUUCUCGACCUAAAGCUGGUUAAACUCUCAUGCAUGUAUACGGCUGGACAAACAGGACUUUCGGCAUUAGCUCAUUAGCAUAGCUGGAGAUGGACUUGACGUUGGAACGGCAACGGAUAAUUUGUACAACAGAUUCAUUAAAGUCUUCUUAAGGAGAGCCAGGAGGAUGGAUUUGGUGUACAAAUAACCAGGAGUGUCGACAGGACGCCACUUAAGGCCCAAGAGGAGAGCCGAACUUUGUAUAUCGUGGAAAAAAGAAGAUAAGCUUCAGUUCCCAGUGCUACAUUACAGUUCGAACACAAGAUGGCAGCAUUGAACCAACAGAAGAAAUUCCUCAGCGCUUUGUCCCUGAAAGAGUAGGCCUCGCUCUUACUGCGUCUGGAGGGUGGAACUCACAGAGUCGAUGGGUUUGACAUUAAAGCACCAAAGCUGCAGGAGGAGUGGCCUACGACUAAUUGAGUGAUACAAUUGGUGUUCAGACAUGUCUUACCUCAUCAUCCAACCGGUGUUUCUCAGACUAUCACCUGCUCCAGGAGACGUGACACACUGCCUGGGGAAGAGAUUUACCGGGUCUACAUUUCAGUCGCUGUGAUUUCAUGUUGGCUGGGAACGGCGAGCAGACGGCGGUCAUGAAGCUAACGCUAGACAUGUUGACGAGGCCGGGAAGAAACCAGGGUCUUUAGAUUCUCAUCUCAAACGUGAUAAACUAAGAAACCAGCAGUGUCGCCCCCUAGUGACAGAAACGGAAGUCGGGUCUACAAACCACAGCGGCUGUUCGUACAGGAUCAUGAUUGGAGUACAAGUGGCAUCAGGGGGCGACAGAGGAAUGACGGCACCGUGACUCUGCCUCUAAUCUCCAGCUCUGUUUGUCUUCUGUCCAUUUAGUCCAUCCAGUUGAUGAAAGUCAUCCGUGACUCACCGCGGCUCACAGAUACGGGCUGAGUGCUCAGGUAUGUGGCGUCUACAUCGACCCUCAUCUCUUGGUCCCGGUCCUUUACUGUCAUAACAUGCAGGCUCUUAUCUCACUGGUGGUCUCUGCUCCGUCUAAUCCAAUAAAAACCCUUGGAUUUCCAGUCGUUAGCGGCUGACAGCUGUUAGCUGCACGCACCGACAAACGGAAUCGUUUCAAAUCGCCUCGUGUGCUUCUGUUCUGAUCACAGUGAUCAGGACGUCCGCUAGGUUAAACAUUCACCAUUCUGAAACAGAUCCACUAGGGGGCAGUGGUGCAACAAAAUAUUAGAUUUCCCUUUGGAGACCAAAGAAGUCACAAAGGUGUUAGCAUGGUUAGCUUGGUAUAGCCUUGGUGAAGAUUCAUCCUCAGAAGAAAAUAAUCUACACAAACAGGAUACACACUGGAGCUGUGCUAACAUGCUACGACUGUAUUUUGUGCUGGAAUGCUGCUAAAAAAAUUGCUAAAUAUUUAAUGUUGCCAAAUUAAAUGUCUUCUUUCUGUCUUGUAGAAAGAAAAUUUACAGAGUUUGAUUUGGGUAAACGGGUUUACCACUUCAUUUCUACUAUGAAACCGAACUUUCAAACGUGUACUUAGCACCUCCUACAGGCCAGAGAAGGAGAGCUACAUGUGCUAUGCUUGCUAAAAAUAAUGUGUUAGAUUUUGUCAUAUCUCACCUAGACCUUGUAGGAGGAGGUGAUGUGGAGGAAUCUGUGUCUCCUGACGGUCUGCCUCACUGACUGACUCAGUUUCUGGGUUCUGGAAAGUUCAGUGUUAAAGCUGCAUGUAUUUCUGCACCUCCUCCUCUCGCUCCUCUCCUCUCUCCUCCAGACGAGUUCAACUGACCGUGGUACGGAGGUAACAGGACUCCAGGGAGGAUUUAGGAGUUAAAAUAAGUGAAGUUUCAGAUUUUUGGCAGUUGGACUCAGUUCAGACUGCAGUUCACGGCAGCACAGACAGGGCGUCACGGCAUCAGGCCCAGUCUGUCCUCUGAAUGUUUUCUGAUUGACAUGAUUUCAUUUUCAAAUGAAAGGUUUUUUUUUUCACACUUUCAGUGAAAAACCCCAUAAACAACGUCACCAACGUCAGGACCAGAGGGCCGUGACCUUCAGAGAAGUUUGAAGGUUCCAUUAUCUUUCCCCGCGAGCGCUAACAAUCCGGAUGUUUUUUAUCUCCUUUGAAACCACCGAAGAAAAAAGUUAAUAAUGAAAGGUCUAGUCACACUUCUCUGGUAAUGACUAACUCCUUGUUUUCCACUCCAGAAAAUGCCCCCGGAGGGUAAGUUUCCUCAACCUUAGACCAGAAUCCACCCACGUGCAGGAACAUGAAGCAACUUGUCUUCAUCUCUGAUGAAUCAUCUGCUGCUGCUGCGUCCAUGAGCCCAUGUCUGAGUCUCUCAAACCAGGAGCAAAAGUCCUCAAGUUCUUUUCAUCACAACUGCACC
Long non-coding RNA from Cynoglossus semilaevis (tongue sole), 2518 nucleotides. RefSeq lists it as uncharacterized. The transcript is spliced from 7 exons. NCBI's taxonomy places the organism in Eukaryota, Metazoa, Chordata, Actinopteri, Pleuronectiformes, Cynoglossidae. The record is from RefSeq and is a predicted model, not a curated record.